GGGGGUGACCUGGUUUCGACGGGGAGUGCGAUCGAUCGCUUGCCAUUCGAGGUUGGUCGAAAGGCCUCGUAAAAAUUCGACCACAAAAACAAAGGCCAACGAAAACGUUGCGCUCGCGGCCUAAUUAGGCUGCGCGGUUCCCGGUAGAUUCCGCCGGUAAGCUACCGAAGAACCGUCGAAUAAACUGGCUGGGAGUGGUGUGGGGCCCCUGGCGUGCCGCUUCGAGACAAACCAGACGGAUCGGGUGAGUAGAGACCCCCCUGUGGGUUACGAAAACCUUAAACUAUUAAACGCAGGGAAUAAUGGUAGCAUGGCGCUCGUGACCCUCUUCGGACGCGGGUUCGAUUCCCGCCACCUCCACCG
This 363-nucleotide transfer-messenger RNA is filed under the name Candidatus Ozemibacteraceae. Its description in RNAcentral is "MWAR01 sp017998915 Standard tmRNA". It matches the Rfam family "transfer-messenger RNA". Rfam says of the family: Bacterial tmRNA, also known as 10Sa RNA or SsrA, is named for its dual tRNA and mRNA-like properties. Its role is to liberate the mRNA from a stalled ribosome. Lineage: Bacteria; Candidatus Rifleibacteriota; Candidatus Ozemibacteria. RNAcentral also lists the same sequence under 1 other name. The record is from RNAcentral.